This 235-nucleotide ribosomal RNA is filed under the name uncultured bacterium. RNAcentral describes it as "partial 16S ribosomal RNA". It matches the Rfam family "Bacterial small subunit ribosomal RNA", at positions 96 to 334 of the family's 1533-position model. The record is from RNAcentral.
UGGCGGACGGGCGAGUAAUGUCUGGGAAACUGCCUGAUGGAGGGGGAUAACUACUGGAAACGGUAGCUAAUACCGCAUAACGUCGCAAGACCAAAGAGGGGGACCUUCGGGCCUCUUGCCAUCGGAUGUGCCCAGAUGGGAUUAGCUAGUAGGUGGGGUAACGGCUCACCUAGGCGACGAUCCCUAGCUGGUCUGAGAGGAUGACCAGCCACACUGGAACUGAGACACGGUCCAG